AUGUUCCCUCUGCAGCUUCUCUCUUCUCCCUUUCGCUCCCGUCUCCUCCCCCUCUCUCAGACUUUUCUUGUGCCCAUCCUUUCUUCUCGUCCAAUGGCAGGCCUCGUUCCAUCUUGUACCUGCCUUCACCUGUAUAAUGAGGUUCCACUGGGGAAUCUCCAUCAAGGACGCUUCAGAAGCUUGCAGUUUCAUUUCUGUGAAGAAACAUUGGAAAAGGAACAGAGCUGCGGAGAUGAGCGUUCCUACAAUGUGAUCCCAAGCUUCCAGUCAACAGCACUCCUCCCACGAGGUGAGGGCUGGGAAUCAUCAAUAAUUGGCUCGAUAAAGGUAGACCAAGACUUCUCCAUGGAAGCUGGAGCUGAGACUGACGCCAGGUUUUCCUCAAGCAUGUAACAUUUGAGAAUCGUGUGGAUGCCAGAACAAAAUGGGGGGAAGCCUUACUUGAGAAGCCAUUGCUGUCGCUGUACGGCCACCGUGGCUGGAUCUAUCACAGCCUCGUACAAACCUGAGUUAACUGUUGCAAGUGAACUGCUCACUGGAGUGCCAAAGUCUGGACUACCGAAAAGUACAUACGGAGAGCAGACGUGAACAGUACAAGCAGAAGAGUGCUUACCAGAAGUGUGGUCAGGGAACUCCAACCUGAGACGGCCAGAAAAGGAAAACGACUCCUCCUCCCCACUAUUGCCAGGGAUCAAGGAUACUGUGGAAGCCUGCGCAGUUCUCUGCCAGCGCACGCACCUCGGUCCUCCGCGGGGGCUGAGCCACAGAAACCUCUCUGCCUGAAGAAACUUCGAAACCUAAUCCACUAAAGACAAGACGUGACUUUCUGGAGGGUGGAGCAGGGGGAUUCUGGCCGUGGAUUUCUGCCAGGAAGUAGUAUAUUCCCACCGGAACCCAAUCUAGAAGGACACACUAACAUGUCAGAGUUAUUGAAACAAACCAUCCUCCCACACAUAUAAAGACUUAUAGGAAUAAAAAUCCAGGAGAGUGGGAACCAUGUCACCUCCCACCCCCUGUGAGGAAAAAUACUGAAAGUGUAAGUCCCUCGGUUUCUUUUUAUUCCCAGAAAGGUGGGAGGUUGUGGCUGGAGACUGGGACACUGGAAGAAUUUCAGAUUUAUUUCUGCCUAAUUCUCAUGCCUAUCUCUAAUACCCAAAAAGAUAACACCAGUGUCAUCCAGACCAAGGUCUCUGGUUGCAUUCCAAGUGAAUAAUCUUUAAUAAGAAAUUUAAUGCCUCCGAGGGUUCCUUUCUUCAGCUUUAAAACUAGAGGUGAUAAAAUGCCAUCAGUUGGUGGUCGUGUGAAAAAUCAAUGGAACUGGUAAGUGUGUGACACCAAUAUUAAAGAAUAUAUAACAUGUAGUAUAACAUAGCUUGGUCCACUAUAUACUCGCUAUGUUUACAUUAUUAUUGUAUGGAGAUAGCUACCAUUGGCUUGUACAUAAUAAAGGGAAGUCUUUUUUUUUUUUUCAGAGCUGGGGACCAAACCCAGGGCCUUGUGGUUGCUAAGCAAGCGCUCUACCACUGAGCUAAAUCCCCAACCCCAUAAAGGGAAGUCUUAAUGGAAGCCUGAGAGCAAGCCUCAAUGUGUCAUUCAUAGUGUAUCCUUAAGAUUGAUCUGGGAACCUGGCACAUGAGAGAGAGAGUCAAAGAAAGAAUGCACAACCAAAAUACCUGCUGCCGUCUAUUUAAUGGUUCUCCAACCUCAGUAUAUUUGGGGAAAGAAUUUCUUCCGAACACAUACUUUGGAUUUAGUCUUAUGUGUAUGCAAGCCUGCUUCUGUGCCCGACCUCAUUCUAUCAAGGCACACUCCCUUUUCAGCACUAUGCUAGAAACUUGAGAUACAUUGUUGCAAAAAUGGGCAAACUCAGCCAUGGGCAGGAGCGAUGGCUCAGUGGUUAAGAGCACUGACUGCUCUUCCAAAGGUCCUGAGUUCAAAUCCCAGAAGCUACAUGAUGGCUCUCAACCAUCUGUAAUGAGAUCUGAUGCCCUCUUCUGGUGUGUCUGAAGGCGCAGCUACAGUGUACUCAUAUAUAAUGUCUUUUUAAAAAAUGGGCAAAGUCUCUGCUCUCGGAGUUUACAUAAAUAGGAGAACGUAAAUUGGAGAAUAUGAUUUAAUAAAUAUAAAUAAACCUUCAAGGAGAGCCCUCAAACUUUGGAACUGUUUUGCAGAAACCUUUUUUUUUUUUUAAAGACAAGGACUCUCAGUUGGACCAGAGACUUACAACUCAGCUAGGCUGACUGGACAAUAAGCUACAGACAUCCUCCCAUCUCUGCUUCCUCAGCACCGGGAUUCUAAGUAGGCACCAUCAUGCCCAGACUUUUAUAUGGGUUUUGGGGACUGAAACUCUGCUCCUUAUGCAAGAGCUAAGAUGAUGACAAGGUGCCUGGUGCUUGCUGUGGGUGUCCAUGCUUGCUGGUAACCCUCGCAUCUGGGAGGCUGAGGCAGAGGGUCACAAGUUCAAGACCACUCUGAGACAAAGUGUGAGACCCUGACUCAAAGAAUAAACAAAACAAAACAAUGGGGUGAGAGAGAAGGAGUUGAGGAGAGAGAGGGGAAGGGAAGGAGUGAAAAGACUAGACCAGAGAAGUUAAGGAAAUUACUCCUACUGUGGGAAGACUGAGCUUAGUUAACAUAAUAAACGGACAGAGGAAGCCUAGUGGGCAGGGAGAAGAGCACGGAGAAGGGUCUGUAGGGAGCAGCCAAUCACAGAUGGCUUUAUGGUCAGAGGGGAGAAAUGCAGCAUGCGUUGUUCUGGAUAAAGCUGGAAGGAAAGACUGUUCAGGGCCUGCAGAGCCCGGCGCUUCCACUCCUUCGAGCACAGGUGACCAUGUGGAACUAUGGGUGUCAUUUUUCAUGAUAAAGGUUCUGGUCUUAGGAGAAGUGCAGCUAGGACCUCCCUCAUUUUGCUCACUCUGCUUCUCUGUGUUAUUAGUAUAGGAUGGCUAUGGGGAGCAGGGUUUCCCUAAUCUUUGGAGAAAUGGAGGGGAAAGACAGCACAGUUUCUAAGCACAGAAAAGCACUGAAUGAACAGCGAGUGCUGUUGUUCUUCAAGUCUUUCAGCCGGAACCCAGCUCAGCCAGUAAACCAAACUGAGCUCUGCUCGCAGCCACGCCGAUUCGGUAACUGCUCUUUGUCGGGAUUUUAGUUGUUUUUUUCCUAACCUAUCCCAAGGUGUGUUCUGUGAAAGAAAAAAUAUUAUUUGUGUGAGUGGGUGCACACGUGGACGAUGCGGAAGCCAGAAGACAACCUUCUGGUUAUCCCUCCUCCCUGAGGAUUAAACCCGGACUCCAGGCUUGCACCGGAAGUACUUUUACCCACCGAGUAAUUUCAUCAGAUCAUGUUCUUCAGCAGUGUUUAUCCUACUUCAGUGAAAGUAGGAAGUUUAUGCGCACAAGAGCACGCACGUCCAGUUCUUCAAGAUCAUGUCUUUCAUCACAGUGACCGACCAAGAAUUCUAGGUUGGCUGACUGAAAACCGGUGAGAUCCCCUUGAACAGCCCACCUCACUUUAAUAAAAAAUUAAAUAAAUAAAUAGCCCACACCACUUAACCUUUUCAUUCAUUUAACAAGUGUUAUACAGCACUUAAAAUACGCUGUAGACUUUGCUGGUUCGUGACAUACAUAAAGAUAAGUAAAUCACAGUGUUUGGCCUGGAAGUGCUCCUGAGACAAACCAUUGCAGCCUCUUGUCUUGUAGCAGCGCUCGAACCCAGAGUAAGAGUUUUGUGGGAGCCCAGAGGAGAGUAAGUUUCCCUGGGGAAGUGGGAUGAGGGGGCUUCCCACAGAAGGCACCGUCGGCAGCGUGGCUUUGAGCACUGAACUGCAGCACUCCCAACCAAAAGGUGUGUUGUCAGCUUGGGAACAGCGGAAGCAAAGCUGUGCUAGAGUGCGUUGGAAAUCCUGUCUAGGGAGAUGAGCCAGGAAGAGUAGACAGGCUUUAUGGCCUUCAUAA
RNAcentral lists this long non-coding RNA (3953 nucleotides) under Rattus norvegicus (Norway rat). RNAcentral's name for it is "long non-coding RNA NONRATT032552". Lineage: Eukaryota; Metazoa; Chordata; Mammalia; Rodentia; Muridae. The record is from RNAcentral.